Molecule: long non-coding RNA, 216 nt
Filed under: Lathyrus oleraceus (garden pea)
Lineage: Eukaryota; Viridiplantae; Streptophyta; Magnoliopsida; Fabales; Fabaceae
Description: Pisum sativum (pea) long non-coding RNA (PSAT_LNC040455)
Source: RNAcentral
AGAGGGUUACCCUGGAGGUGCAAGUGUGGAAAUGAUUGGAUUCAGAUAUAUUAUCUUGAAUUAAUUUAUCUAAGUUCGAUUAUUUAUCUUUCCAUGCAAUCCUAUUAGCAUACAUGAAGACAGUUAUAUUCACAGUAUGGAAAAAUUAAAGUGCGAAAAAUAAGACUACGCUAUUACAUGGCUUCGGGAUGGGGGGUACAUAAUUUAAAAGGGGAU